GGCGGUGUAGCUCAGUUGGCUAGAGCAUGCGACUCAUAUUCGCAGUGUCAGGGGUUCGACUCCCUUCACCGCUACCA
Molecule: transfer RNA, 77 nt
Filed under: Nitrospinota bacterium
Lineage: Bacteria; Pseudomonadati; Nitrospinota
Description: tRNA-Met
Rfam family: tRNA
About the family: Transfer RNA (tRNA) molecules are approximately 80 nucleotides in length.
Source: RNAcentral